AACGAACGCUGGCGGCGCGCCUAAUACAUGCAAGUCGAGCGAGAAGACGUAGCAAUACGUUUGUAAAGCGGCGAACGGGUGAGGAAUACAUGGGUAACCUACCCUAGAGUGGGGAAUAACUAGCCGAAAGGUUAGCUAAUACCGCGUACGCUCCUUGGACUUCGGUACAGGGAGGAAAGCGAUACCGUGGGUAUCGCGCUCUUGGAUGGGCUCAUGUCCUAUCAGCUUGUUGGUGAGGAACGGCUCACCAAGGCUUCGACGGGUAGCUGGUCUGAGAGGACGAUCAGCCACACUGGCACUGCGACACGGGCCAGACUCCUACGGGAGGCAGCAGUAAGGAAUAUUGCGCAAUGGGCGAAAGCCUGACGCAGCGACGCCGCGUGGGGGAGUGAA
RNAcentral lists this ribosomal RNA (393 nucleotides) under uncultured bacterium. Its description in RNAcentral is "bacterial SSU rRNA". It matches the Rfam family "Bacterial small subunit ribosomal RNA", at positions 29 to 413 of the family's 1533-position model. The record is from RNAcentral.